GAUGAACGCUAGCGGGAGGCCUAACACAUGCAAGCCGAGCGGUAUUUGUUCUUCGGAACAGAGAGAGCGGCGCACGGGUGCGGAACACGUGUGCAACCUGCCUUUAUCUGGGGGAUAGCCUUUCGAAAGGAAGAUUAAUACCCCAUAAUAUAUUGAGUGGCAUCAUUUGAUAUUGAAAACUCCGGUGGAUAGAGAUGGGCACGCGCAAGAUUAGAUAGUUGGUGAGGUAACGGCUCACCAAGUCAAUGAUCUUUAGGGGGCCGGAGAGGGUGAUCCCCCACACUGGUACUGGGACACGGACCAGACACCUACGGGAGGCAGCAGUGAGGAAGACUGGACAAUGGGUUAGCGCCUGAUCCAGCCAUCCCGCGUGAAGGACGACGGCCCUAUGGGUUGUAAACUUCUUUUGUAUAGGGAUAAACCUACUCUCGGGAGAGUAGCUGAAGGUACUAGACGAAUAAGCACCGGCUAACUCCGUG
Molecule: ribosomal RNA, 479 nt
Filed under: uncultured bacterium
Lineage: Bacteria
Description: partial 16S ribosomal RNA
Rfam family: Bacterial small subunit ribosomal RNA
Source: RNAcentral